This 290-nucleotide unclassified non-coding RNA is filed under the name Pleosporales sp. RNAcentral describes it as "partial contains 5.8S ribosomal RNA, internal transcribed spacer 2, and large subunit ribosomal RNA". The stretch from base 1 to 71 matches the Rfam family "5.8S ribosomal RNA", at positions 84 to 154 of the family's 154-position model. The record is from RNAcentral. Lineage: Eukaryota; Fungi; Ascomycota; Dothideomycetes; Pleosporales.
GUGAAUCAUCGAAUCUUUGAACGCACAUUGCGCCCUUUGGUAUUCCUUAGGGCAUGCCUGUUCGAGCGUCAUUUGAACAUUCAAGCUCAGCUUGGUGAUGGGUGUUUGUCCUUGCUACUACACGCAUGGGACUCGCCUCAAAAAUAGUUGGCAGCUUAUCUAUUAGCUCUAAACGCAGCAGAAUUGCAGUGAGAGUUGACUGAAAAGGCUAUCCAGUAAGCAAAUUAUCAGCUUGACCUCGGAUCAGGUAGGGAUACCCGCUGAACUUAAGCAUAUCAAUAAGCGGAGGA